RNAcentral lists this ribosomal RNA (252 nucleotides) under uncultured Odoribacter sp. Its description in RNAcentral is "partial 16S ribosomal RNA". It matches the Rfam family "Bacterial small subunit ribosomal RNA", at positions 524 to 776 of the family's 1533-position model. The record is from RNAcentral. Lineage: Bacteria; Pseudomonadati; Bacteroidota; Bacteroidia; Bacteroidales; Odoribacteraceae.
UACGGAGGAUGCGAGCGUUAUCCGGAUUUAUUGGGUUUAAAGGGUGCGUAGGCGGUAUUUUAAGUUAGUGGUAAAACGUCGGGGCUUCACCUUGAUUGGCCAUUAAAACUGGAGUACUAGAGUACAGACGAGGUAGGCGGAAUGCGUGGUGUAGCGGUGAAAUGCAUAGAUAUCACGCAGAACUCCGAUCGCGAAGGCAGCCUACCGGCGCGCAACUGACGCUCAUGCACGAAAGCGUGGGUAUCGAACAGG